GCUGGAGUUUUGGCUCAGUGGUAGAGUGCUUGCUUAGCAUGUGUGAGGCACUGGGUUCGAAGCUCAGCACCAGCU
Molecule: transfer RNA, 75 nt
Filed under: Marmota monax (woodchuck)
Lineage: Eukaryota; Metazoa; Chordata; Mammalia; Rodentia; Sciuridae
Description: tRNA.Ala
Source: RNAcentral